Oryzias melastigma (Indian medaka) is the source of this 2549-nucleotide long non-coding RNA. RefSeq lists it as uncharacterized. The transcript has 5 exons. The record is from RefSeq and is a predicted model, not a curated record. Lineage: Eukaryota; Metazoa; Chordata; Actinopteri; Beloniformes; Adrianichthyidae.
AGCCGGUUUAAAUCUAAAAAUAUUCUUUUUCAGGUGAUCUACGUGACCCUGACGUUUUCAGUGCAUACUUACUGUGUCGUAAACGCUCUCUUGAUGGCUAACACUCGCGACACAAAAUGUCCACAAGAGCAAACAAACACCAGAACAAGAAUCCACCUUCCUGGUAGAGCAGCAUCAACCAGAUGGUAAGAAGAAUGAAUGUAAGCGACCAAAGGUUUUCUUCCAUGGAAAACAAACGGGAACGUCUCCGUCUGGGAUUGUCCCUGCUAUGUUGAACAGCUGUAUCAAGCAGCUUUGUUACCAUAGUAACACCUGAGAGGAGGGAGGAGCGGUUGCUAAGGAAGCUGUGGUUGCUAUGAAGCACCAUGGAGAUGCUGCUGAGCCGGCGUGCAGCAAAGAACUCAGCGGAUUCAGAUCCACAAACGCUCCGCCUCAAAUUUCUACUCAUGAUUGUAAAUCAAUGAACACAAAAUGAUGGCAGUUCGUUAGAGAUUACAGUUUGUAUUCUCACCCCGUGACCUCCUCCUGCUCCUCCUUCUGCUCCUGCUCCUCCUGAGGUUCUGGUAAUCUGUCCACACAGAACAUUCCUCAUGACUCAUCUCCUCACAGACGUCUCAGCGGUCAGUGCCGGACGUUCACACCAUGACCUACUCGGCCUCGGGCUCCUCCAGGAGUUCUUGACUCUCCAGUGAGAGUUUGAUGGAGGUUCCCUCGCUGGCCAUCUGCCUGACGGCCAUCUCAGCCGUCUGCCGCGCCACCUCCUCCGCCAGACGAGCCAUUUCUAUCCGCUCCUGCAGCAAACUGAAGGCAGAAAUGAGGAGGACUCUUUAGGAAUCUGUAAACACACUACAGGCUGGUCAGUUCCAGUCUUUAGGGAGUCAACAGGAUCAUCUCCAGCAGAACACGGACUGUGGUUGGAAUGAUCGAGAUGUUGAGUUACCUGAGGAACUUUAUUUGGUUUGAAUGUAAAAAAAUAUCGACGUGAAAUACUCAAUUAAAAUAGAAACUGAUCUAAAUGUCCUUCAUUUAAAUUCCAAAUAGAAACACUCGAGUAUUUUUUCCUGAGAAGUGUCCAAUGUUUGUUCAGUAAUAAAAAAACAUUGUCAUAAAUUAGGGUAAAACUUUAAACACAGAAUUGUAUUUUUCAAACAUUAUUAUGGCCAAAGUUAAUAUUGACUGAUCAAAAUGAUUGGAAAUAUAUGAAAAACAUGUUUAAAUUUCCAACAUUUUUACUUUCAUUGUAAAAUGAGUUUGAAGUUCCAGAAUUGAUUCAGUCAAACUUUGGUUUCAGAAAAUCCUUCAUGAUUUUAAUGUUUUUUAACUUUCCACCCGUCUUACCGCUCCUCCAUGGUUGCCAGGGCGACGUCCUCAGCCUCCUUCUUGAUGCUCUCGAUGAACGGCGUCCAGCGGCCCGUUUGGGUCUCCGCGUCCUCCUGGGAGCCUUUCUGCUCGCCGUCCGUCGGUGCUUCAGACUUCUGGGAGCUGGCGGCGGAGUUCAGCUGCGGUUGUGGCGCCUCUUCACGCUGCGGCGGUUUUAUGGAUGGACUCAGGGAUGCAGCUUUGGUCUGGUCCUCGUGUUUCUGCUGGACCUCGUUGUCAGACUCCAGGUCCUCUAAGACCAUGUCAGGGUUGAGCUUGGAUGAAGCUGGAGGUGGUGGAAGAACGAGCUGAGGCAGCUUCAGACCGAGUCCCGACACAAACCAGUCCACCACUCUGCAGACAGACAGUCUUCUCUGUAGUUUUCAUCAUUGUUGUUACUUCGAUUCAGGAUUAUCAAAUCACAUCAGGCACUCUGGUACUGGAUCAGGAUGACCUCCGAUCAGACCCGGUACCAGCCCAUAAGAUGACCACAGAACCGGGUCAGUUACAGGGAAACGGAAACCUUUCCAGAAUAAACUGAUCCGUUCUCCUUACAGUUCGUCAUCCUGAUAAUCCCUUUAGAGAAGGCCAGUGAGCCUGCAGGAUGCCCCGCAGCUUCCACCCCUGCAGAGGUCGGCCUGAGGCCCACGGGUCAGCGACUGAUGGACGUCAGAACCGUCUCGGUGUUUGCAGAGUUUGAUGUGUUCACGUCAGGAUUUUAUUCAGGACAGAAAUCAAGAAAAUCUCUUUUUUUUUUUUUUACACAUACUCUUCUCCUCACGUUACCUGUAAAGAAUGUCCUCAUAAAGCCUGAACCGUUUUUUAAAGGCGGGAUGACCCGUUUGUGACUCCUGACCAGCGUCUCAUGUCAGCAGAGAUCAGAGGGCCUCCUGGUGGCCUAAUCUCACCUUCGUGGGAUUGGAUUAAGUCCAGGACCUCUUCCCCUCCACUAAUCUUCAUUUCUUCUCAGUGCUUCCAUUUCUGAUGAUAUAUUUCAGUCCGAUUGAAACGAUCUAAUCAAAUCUUUUCAAGGCUUCAGUGAAGCUUCUCUCGUCGUUAGUCAUCAGACCUGAAGGUGACGGCGUCCUCAUCCACGUCUCCUUCAGCAAAACGACCCACCUGACCUUAAAUCAGCUGCAUGUGUUGGCAUGGAAGAGAAGUCUGCUCAGGUGUGUUCCUCUUACCUGUGU